Non-coding RNA from Pimephales promelas (fathead minnow), 370 nucleotides. Lineage: Eukaryota; Metazoa; Chordata; Actinopteri; Cypriniformes; Leuciscidae. The record is from RefSeq and is a predicted model, not a curated record.
ACUAGCCGGUUAGAUUUUUUGACAAAAUGCCGCGUUAUGCUCUUCAACCCUUCCACUGCUUGUCGUCUUCUGCACUCGUCUCGAACGGUGUCAUUUAGAUCCCCAUAUCUCCCAAGACUCUUCACUGGCUUCACAGAAACUGUUGGCAUUGCCUCACCAGUAUCCACAACAUCAUAUGAAAAGUCCUGACCAGCAAAGACGAAAACAGGGAGUAAACUGUUAAAGCAACCCUAUAAGGCCACUAAUUGGGAUCUGAACAGGCUGCAGGCCAUCAGACUCAGCAGUGGGUGCGGCUAAUGAACUGAAACAUGAAAAAGACUGAACAUGCCCACCAAGCACUUCCGUCCCUGACGCGCAGACUCAAACAGAG